AGUGAACGCUGGCGGUAGGCCUAACACAUGCCAGUCGAACGGCAGCACAGUAAGAGCUUGCUCUUACGGGUGGCGAGUGGCGGACGGGUGAGGAAUACAUCGGAAUCUACUUUUUCGUGGGGGAUAACGUAGGGAAACUUACGCUAAUACCGCAUACGACCUACGGGUGAAAGCAGGGGAUCUUCGGACCUUGCGCGAUUGAAUGAGCCGAUGUCGGAUUAGCUAGUUGGCGGGGUAAAGGCCCACCAAGGCGACGAUCCGUAGCUGGUCUGAGAGGAUGAUCAGCCACACUGGAACUGAGACACGGUCCAGACUCCUACGGGAGGCAGCAGUAGGGAAUAUUGGGCAAUGGGCGCAAGCCUGAUCCAGCCAUGCCGCGUGAGUGAAGAAGGCCUUCGGGUUGUAAAGCCCUUUUGUUGGGAAAGAAAAGCAGCAGGUUAAUACCCCGCUGUUCUGACGGUACCCAAAGAAUAAGCACCGGCUAACUUCGUG
RNAcentral lists this ribosomal RNA (492 nucleotides) under uncultured bacterium. Its description in RNAcentral is "partial 16S ribosomal RNA". It matches the Rfam family "Bacterial small subunit ribosomal RNA", at positions 29 to 507 of the family's 1533-position model. The record is from RNAcentral.